Molecule: small nuclear RNA, 22 nt
Filed under: Arabidopsis thaliana (thale cress)
Lineage: Eukaryota; Viridiplantae; Streptophyta; Magnoliopsida; Brassicales; Brassicaceae
Description: snRNA_08461
Source: RNAcentral
AAACAAAGCAUUGCGAUGGUCC